Molecule: long non-coding RNA, 4050 nt
Filed under: Cinara cedri
Lineage: Eukaryota; Metazoa; Arthropoda; Insecta; Hemiptera; Aphididae
Source: RNAcentral
AUGUAAAUCCUAACAUUAAUCAGCAUAUUUAAUAUCAAACGUUAAUAAUAAAUAAUAAUGAAUAAAUACAUUAAUAUAAUUACUAUAUUAUUAAACAAUUUAAUAAAAGACCUUGACAAAAUUACCAACUAACUAAGGGUGAAGCUGAACAGCUAAAAGCUAAAUAGUAUAACAAAAAUGUAAUACCACAGUCAUUAGUGAUGAUAGAAACCGUUUUAGUUUUACCGCGCUUUCACUAACAAUAUUUGACAAGAGAAUCCAGUGGUUCUCAAAAUGCAUUAAAGACGUUAGGCAAUAAAUAUGCAAAAAUGCACAAUGUGAUAUCAAUAAAGGGCGUAAAAAAAAUAUUAUGUAAGUAAUAGCAUAACGUUACACUAACCGGCCGAAACAGUCUCUUUGUAACCUGAUUAAUAAUAAAUGCAUACUAAUUAGAAAUAAUUUUAUUUCACCAAAUGAUAGCUUGUGAAAUCUACUUUCAGACAGUAUAGUCCGGCUAAGGGUUCCUCUGGCCGGUUAGAUAUCGAAUAUCCUAAUCAAAAUGAUGCGGUCUAUUGUUUAUAUUAUACCUAUGGUGACCAGAUAUAAAAAUCCAAAAAAAAAUACAUUUUAAAAUUUAGGUCCCUUAUUGUAAAAACACCCUUCCCUUGAAAGAAUUGGCCAAUGUGUGUUGUAUGUACUAUUCUACCUAUUCUGCCCAUAGUUUAUCUCCAUCUUUAUACAUUUUUGUUUUAUCUGAUUACUCUAUUUUUUUUUUUUUUUAUUAUCAACUAUUAAAACUAAUGAUUUGAAAUCAUAAUGUCGACUUAUUUUAUUUGUCUAUAUGAAAAUACUUUAAAAUUUAAAUAAUUUUAAUUCUUCUUAAAGUACACAAGUAUAACUAAAAUAUACAUAUUAAAAUCAAUUUUUUAAGGUAGACAUUUAAAUAAAUAAACAUAAAACUUUAUUAAUAUUUGUUUCCUUCAUAUUUAUAUUUAUUUAUUAUUUAUAAUUUUCAAAACAAAGAGUACAAUUUCAUGUACUUAAAAUUAUUGUUAAGGACAUAGAAUAAUACAUCAAAACAGAGUAUUGUGCUACGAAAAAGUGUACAUCUAGUCACCAUAAUUAUACUGAAUGCAUGAUGAGAAGCCAAAACAAAUUAUUAUUUUUGAUACUAAUUUCGAUCCAAUGGUGUAUAGAAUAAAACUGAAAUAAUUCCUUUUAGAAAACUAUGAUUUUAUGAGAGAUAUUUGUAUAUACUUUAAAAAUUCAGAUUCACGGCAUAAAAAAAUUAAAGAAAAUAAUUUUACUUGGGUACAAUGUGGUAUAUAUAUUAGAUGGAUAAUAGUAGAUUGUGUGAAAAAAAUUGAAAACAAAUUAGAUUGAAUCAAUGAUCAUUUUGAAUGCUUGUUGUGUAAAUCAUAUAUGGAAAGGUAUGUUUCAUAUUUUAAAUAAUUUAAUGUGUAUUGUUUUUAUCUAUUUUAAACCCUGUUUGUUUUUAUUUGUAAUUACAUGUUUUUUAAUCUGGAAGAUAGUAGAAAGAAGGAGAAAAAUAAAAUAGAGAUAGAAACUAAGGUGGUAAAGAAAUCUGCAUGAUGCUUGAUAGUUGAUUUAUAUAUGUAUCUUUAAUACUGAUAACAUAAUUUAAACGAGAUAAUGAGAUAUUAAUGACAUAACUAUUUAAUUGGUUGGUGAAAUAAUAUGAAAAACUAAAAAGUAUAAUUAUAUCUAGUAACAAAUUAAAUAUUAUCUACAAAACAAAUUAUAAAACUAGGUAAAAAUACAUUAGUAUUAAUAUUAUUAUAUUGUAAAAGUAAAAAGGAAAAUUUGUAUUUUUAGAUGACAAUCAAGCAAUAAUUUUAUUAACCUUUGCAAAGUAUUCAUAAAAACUUUAUGAUGUAUUUAAGUUGGACAAUUUGAACCAAUAUUCCUAAAACAAAUAAACUAAUUAUUACAUAAUAGGUAGGUACUUAUGUUUUACUUACAUAGUUUGAUGUAUUAAGAACAUACAAUGAUAAGUAAUUGGUAUCGAUUUACCAUCUGGUAAAUUGGUGAAAUAGUGCUGGAAAUUGUAACCAGUUCAAUUAUUUUUGUAAUGAAUUUCAAUAUUACAUGUUGUAUUCAAAUGUAGGUAUCUUAUUAUAGAAUUAAUUUUUUUGUUUAGGUCAAAAACCUAUAUUGUUGGUGGAUCAUCAUUCAGUAAACUUAAAAAGUUUUAAAUUAAAAAACAGUUUAAAUGGUUAGGCCGAAAAAAUAAUUGAGUUUUGCAACAACAAGCCUGGCUGAUUUUGUAAAAAGUAAUUAUGAUUUUAUAUUAUAUUAAAUAUUUGUGGUAUUUUAUAAAAAGGGCAAUUUUUAAUAGCUUUAUUAUUCUAAGUUAUACAGAUCUAUACAACAUAGAAUACUCAUUGUUUUUAUUACACAAAUAUUAUAAUCUUAUACCAAGAAAAAAUAAUAUUAUAAUAAUACUGGUGUUACACAAUUUCUCUUCAAUGCUUAUAUCAAUUAGUUUAUUAUAGUUAAUAAGAAAUUAUUUUGGAGGGCUACAGAUUAUUUGUUUGUUCUUUGUUAACUAUUUCUCUAAUUGUAUUUCAAACUUGUUUAAUAUUCCCAGUGUUGUUUUAAAUUUAAAUUUUAUAAUAUUUAUUUUUAGUGAAUCAUAUUAGUAAACAUAAUUUAUUUUUAUAUUUUUUGUAAUAUUUACAUACUGUGAUGUCAUUCUAUUCAUUUUAAUACCUACCAUUUUACCUAAUUUAUCUUUAGUUCUAAUUGAUUAAAUUCAUUUAAAUUCAAAUAUUCCGAUUUAGUAUUAUCUUUACUACUUGGUAGUAUUGAUAUUUAUAUCUUCUGUUACUAUGACUUUAUUAACUGAAUAAUAUUUGAUAAUAUUUUAGUUAUGAAUUUUAAAUUCUGAAAAUUUUUUAUUAUGACGUCUAUAAAGUACUAUUAUUAAAUGAGUAGUCUCUCUAGUAUUAAUGUUAAGUUAUAAACAAUUACAGUUAUCAAUAACAAUCUCAUUCCCACAGUUAACUUUAUGCUUAAUAUUAAUAUAUACAAUUAAACCACUAUUUUAGUUAAAAUUAUUACUAUAAGCUUUAUAUAAUUUAAAACUUUAUAUUAAUUAGACAACUUCCGAGCCAACACUCAGAUAAGACCAUAGGUAUAAUCAAUAUAUUAUAUAUUAUCUAACAUGGGUAACUAAUAAUUGAUUAAACAUUUUUUGAAUUGAUCUUAUGUUAAUAAGGAAUAUUGUAAAGACUUUAAAACUAAUUACUAAUGCAUUAAUGGUGUUUAUAUCCGGGAAAAAGAAUUAUUAUUGAAAUUUCUGAGAUUUAUAAUUUGAUGACAAUUUGUGUGGUACUUAUAGAUUAUCCUAAUCUUUUUCAUUUCUGAUUUGAUACUCUGAAUUGUUUGUUCUUGCGUACAAGGAUAUCUGAACUAUUUGUCCCCACAAAUUAAAUCCUUUGUCAUUUGCAAUUUUUUUCAAUUAUUAAAUUGAAUUAUUUUAUAUUUAGUCUAGUGGUCAUUGUAUGUCAUUAUAUAUGUUUAUAAUUUGUAUAAACAUUAAUAAUAAUUUUAAAUGUGAUAUAUAAUAAUCGUUGAAAAAAAAAUAUAUUGUUUCAUUAUAGGUGGAGUAAAAAUUAAGUUAAUAGAAGAAAUAGACAAACAUUUAGAAAGUGUUGCUGGUACUUGGCCUUAAGUCAAAGAAAGAAUAAAAUAUAUAAGUACAACUUGUAAUUUAUAAUUAUAAAUAUUACUAUAUUUUAAUAUUAAUGUUAAUUUUUUUAAUAAAAAGAGCGGGUAUUUUUUUAUUAUAAAAUAUAUUUUGUAUUAUAUUAUGGGUAAGUAAUUAUGUAUUAUAUAUUGUUAUAAUAUUUUAAUAUUUUUCAGUAAAGGUAUGACUAUUGAUCUUGACUAUAAAAUAUAAAUGUUAAAUAAAUUUCCAAUAAAAAAGACAAACUUUUCUUUAUAUUAUAAAAUAUAUUUUAUUUUAUAUUUAUAAUUUGUAUUAUACUAUUGAUACUGUAGAAGAUAAUUUUUUUUUUCCAUAAAGGAAUGACUUUUAAUUUUAAA